UACGUAGGUGGCAAGCGUUGUCCGGAUUUACUGGGCGUAAAGAGCGCGCAGGCGGCUGGUCAAGUCCGAUGUGAAAUCUCCCGGCUCAACUGGGAAACUGCAUCGGAAACUGAUCGGCUUGAAGGUGGGAGAGGGUAGUGGAAUUCCCGGUGUAGUGGUGAAAUGCGUAGAUAUCGGGAAGAACACCCGUGGCGAAGGCGGCUCUCUGGGACGGUACUGACGCUGAGACGCGAAAGCGUGGGGAGCGAACAGG
RNAcentral lists this ribosomal RNA (253 nucleotides) under uncultured bacterium. RNAcentral's name for it is "partial 16S ribosomal RNA". It matches the Rfam family "Bacterial small subunit ribosomal RNA", at positions 524 to 776 of the family's 1533-position model. The record is from RNAcentral.